ACUCCUACGGGAGGCAGCAGUGGGGAAUAUUGCACAAUGGGCGCAAGCCUGAUGCAGCCAUGCCGCGUGUAUGAAGAAGGCCUUCGGGUUGUAAAGUACUUUCAGCAGUGAGGAAGGUGGGUAUGUUAAUAGCAUAUUUCAUUUUGGACGUUUAGCUGCAGAAGAAGCACCGGCUAACUCCGUGCCAGCAGCCGCGGUAAUACGGAGGGUGCGAGCGUUAAUCGGAAUUACUGGGCGUAAAGCGCAUGCAGGUGGUUUGUUAAGUCAGAUGUGAAAGCCCGGGGCUCAACCUCGGAAUUGCAUUUGAAACUGGCAAACUAGAGUACUGUAGAGGGGGGUAGAAUUUCAGGUGUAGCGGUGAAAUGCGUAGAGAUCUGAAGGAAUACCGGUGGCGAAGGCGGCCCCCUGGACAGAUACUGACACUCAGAUGCGAAAGCGUGGGGAGCAAACAGGAUUAGAUACCCUGGUAGCUACGAGU
RNAcentral lists this ribosomal RNA (478 nucleotides) under uncultured bacterium. RNAcentral describes it as "bacterial SSU rRNA". It matches the Rfam family "Bacterial small subunit ribosomal RNA", at positions 335 to 802 of the family's 1533-position model. The record is from RNAcentral.